AUAUCACUAAGCGGAGGAAAAGAAAUUAACUAAGAUUGCCCCAGUAACGGCGAGUGAAGCGGCAAAAGCCCAAAGUGGAAAUCUUCGCUUUUCAAGCGACGAAUUGUAAUCUAUAGUUUGGUAGCUCACCUAGCGGUGGCGCAGAAGUGACUUAGAACGGUCCGCCAGAGAGGGUGACAGCCCCGUAUGUGGUGCCACUGCUUAACGAGCUCCAAUCCAAGAGUCGGGUUGUUUUGAAUUGCAGCCCUAAUCUAGGAGAUAGACUUCACCUAAGGCUAAAUAUUACUGUGAGACCGAUAGCGAACAAGUA
This 310-nucleotide ribosomal RNA is filed under the name uncultured eukaryote. RNAcentral describes it as "partial large subunit ribosomal RNA". It matches the Rfam family "Eukaryotic large subunit ribosomal RNA", at positions 40 to 350 of the family's 3401-position model. The record is from RNAcentral.